UGUCACAACCAGAUCUGGUCCUGGAUCAGUGGCUGAGUCUUGAUGGAGCCUCACCUGACAGUCAGAUUCUACUGAGGGCUGAACUCAAGGUGCUGUGUCCCAAGAAGUGUGAGAUUGAUGUGGAGAGGGCAGAUCAACCCAGAGCUCGAGCCACCUCCACUGCUGAACAGAGACUGGAGAGAGAGACAGUGCAGCAGAGGUCUAGUUCAGUGGACACUCCCAGUGCUCCAGCCCCCAGCUCUCC
Molecule: long non-coding RNA, 244 nt
Organism: Coregonus clupeaformis (lake whitefish)
Lineage: Eukaryota; Metazoa; Chordata; Actinopteri; Salmoniformes; Salmonidae
Exons: 3
Source: RefSeq, a predicted model, not a curated record